This 899-nucleotide ribosomal RNA is filed under the name Halococcus sp. RNAcentral describes it as "bacterial SSU rRNA". It matches the Rfam family "Archaeal small subunit ribosomal RNA", at positions 14 to 912 of the family's 1478-position model. Lineage: Archaea; Methanobacteriati; Methanobacteriota; Halobacteria; Halobacteriales; Halococcaceae. The record is from RNAcentral.
CUGCCGGAGGCUAUUGCUAUCGGGGUCCGAAAUUCACCCAUGCUAGUUGUACGGGUUUAGACCCGUAGCAAAUAGCUCCGUAACACGUGGUCAAACUACCCUCUGGACCGGGAUAUCCUCGGGAAACUGAGGUCAAUCCCAGAUACUGCUUUCAUGUUGGAACACAGAAAGUCGGAAACGGUCCGCCGCCGGAGGACGUGACUGCGGCCGAUUAGGUAGACGGUGGGGUAACGGCCCACCGUGCCGAUAAUCGGUACGGGUUGUGAGAGCAAGAACCCGGAGACGGUAUCUGAGACAAGAUACCGGGCCCUACGGGGCGCAGCAGGCGCGAAACCUUUACACUGCACGCCAGUGCGAUAAGGGGACCCCGAGUGCGAGGGCAUACAGUCCUCGCUUUUCGUGACCGUAAGAAGGUCUCAGAAUAAGAGCUGGGCAAGACCGGUGCCAGCCGCCGCGGUAAUACCGGCAGCUCGAGUGAUAGCCACUAUUAUUGGGCCUAAAGCGUCCGUAGCCGGCCGAACAGGUCCGUCGGGAAAUCCACCCGCUCAACGGGUGGACGUCCGGCGGAAACCAGUCGGCUUGGGGCCGGGAGACCAGAGAGGUACGUCCGGGGUAGGAGUGAAAUCCUGUAAUCCUGGACGGACCGCCGGUAGCGAAAGCGUCUCUGGAGAACGGACCCGACGGUGAGGGACGAAAGCUUGGGUCUCGAACCGGAUUAGAUACCCGGGUAGUCCAAGCUGUAAACGAUGCUCGCUAGGUGUGGCGUUGGCUACGAGCCAGCGCUGUGCCGUAGGGAAGCCGAGAAGCGAGCCGCCUGGGAAGUACGUCCGCAAGGAUGAAACUUAAAGGAAUUGGCGGGGGAGCACUACAACCGGAGGAGCCUGCGGUUUAAUUGGAUG